This 1340-nucleotide long non-coding RNA is filed under the name Homo sapiens (human). RNAcentral describes it as "HSALNT0196737". The record is from RNAcentral. Lineage: Eukaryota; Metazoa; Chordata; Mammalia; Primates; Hominidae.
GAGAAAGUACACAAACCUUCUGAAAGGUUGGAAGGUUCUGCAGAGCCACAAGGGACAAUGGCUGAAGGCAGCUGUUCUAUAACCCUGAGGCAGAGGGCAAGGAGUAGGUACAAGGGAGUUUGGGGGAAUUUACCUUAAAUAAGCUUGUUUACUUAUGUUGACCAGGAACUGACCUUUGAUUAUCUGCAUGACGUUCCCUGAAAGGAGAACAAUAAAUGUUAAUUACCCACAGGUUGUGUUUGCUCCAGGUUAUCGGCAUUGUGCCUGCACUGAAUAAAAACAAGCAGCUCCAACUUCUCAGGGCUGCUCUCUGGCCACUAGAGCCAGGCAGUCACCUAGCUGCUGUUAUGCUGCAUACCUGUCUCUGAGUACUCGCUUCAUCCAUCGGCCAGGGUCUGUGGGACAGACCAGGCAGGUGGUGCCCCAUGUGAGGAACGCUGCAAUGGAUUGCAAGGGAACCCCUGAAAACAAAUGUGAAGUGACUGAGCAGUGUUAACCUUAGAAGACUAGAACCUAAUGAGUUAUGGCAAACAGAUGUUAUGCACGUCCCUGAAUUUGGAAAACUAAGGUCCUCUUUGGAUUCCAGCACGAGGCAUCAAACCAUACCAUGGCAUGGCUAGGACCCAACCCGGUACCAAAAUGAAGAAAAUGACCCUACAGGACCCACAAUCCCGGAUGAUGUGGCUUCCUUGGAUGACACAGGCCCUGGACAUUACCUGGGGGAUGCUGAAGAAGACAACUCAGGAGGCCAAGCAAAUCCUGCUCCAGGCACAGACACCAUUCACUCCAGGAAGCUGCCAUUCAUUCGACAUAAGUAGGUGCUUCAUCUGAUAAGCGCUGCUUGUGUAAUUUAUCAAUGACAGAGAAGGCAGAUAGCAGCAUGCAUACUUGGGGCUGCAUUUGAAGGAGAGCAACAUCCCUUUGUUUUCACAGAGGAGAACAAGCAUGAGUUGAGAUUGUGGUGCUUCUUGAAGUCUCAUCCAGAUCAGAAACCUGCUGCUCUGUCCACAUUCCAUCCACCAAAGCAACCCAUAUGGCCAUGUCCAGCAUCAGAUGGGGAAAGGCAGUUCUCCUCUAGCACGAGGAGCUGCAAAGCCACAUGGCAAAGGAUGAGUGUGUAAAAAAUAAAUGCAGGAGGGCAGGAGGCAUUGGGAACAAUGAUCCAAUCUACUGCAGUGUGUUAUUCUCUCCAGCUUGGCAUGCGUUCCGUUCCCUGUGUACAGCAUCCUGCAGUGACAGGAGCUCACGCUGGUCCUUUAAUAUGGGCCAGAUACUGUGCUAAGCACAGCACAUGGUUUAUCUUGGUGUAGCCUCACAGCAACAUUGGAGCAAAGCACAGU